GUUGGCUGGCGGGUUAAAAAGGCUUCGCCAGGUUGAAUGUCAGUAUCGGAGCCGCAGGGCAGGGUGGACGCUGGGGCGUUGGGAACUUAACGGCUCGGGCGUUUGGUUUUGGGCAUGUGGGCGCGCAAGCGCACGCGUGCUCUUCCGGCGUCGGGUCUCUCACAAGCUCCCCGUCCGUAACAAGCCUCCUCGCUUGUGUACAUAACGGAAUCGGAAUACGGAGUGUGCUUGUCGGGGGCGUUGUUUUGUCGUGCGUGGGUGUCGGAUGUGCAAACCCUUCACGGGGCGCGCGCUCCUUCCUCGCGUGCGGCAUGCGCGUUCACGCUUGCACGUCAAGCUCCAACGUUUUCACAGUCACCCUGAGUAAAUCAGAGUGCUCAAAGCAGUCGUAGGGGCCUUGCGCCCUCACAACAGUCUUGACAGACUUGGUUUUGCAUGGCAUGUCGAAGGACGACGUCUAGCGCUGGCUAAGAGGUCAAUGUGCGUUGUGCUCGAAGGCGGGUGCAGCGCACACACGGUGGUGCAAGCCAGCCUAGACGUAAUGAUUAAAAGGGACAGUCGAGGGCAUUGGUAUUGCGAGGCGAGAAGGUGAAAUUCUA
This 599-nucleotide ribosomal RNA is filed under the name Socarnes vahlii. RNAcentral describes it as "partial small subunit ribosomal RNA". The stretch from base 346 to 599 matches the Rfam family "Eukaryotic small subunit ribosomal RNA", at positions 754 to 932 of the family's 1831-position model. Lineage: Eukaryota; Metazoa; Arthropoda; Malacostraca; Amphipoda; Lysianassidae. The record is from RNAcentral.